UAGGAGUUCUAUUUGAAAAAAAAAUCU
RNAcentral lists this non-coding RNA (27 nucleotides) under Mus musculus (house mouse). Lineage: Eukaryota; Metazoa; Chordata; Mammalia; Rodentia; Muridae. The record is from RNAcentral.